Molecule: ribosomal RNA, 460 nt
Filed under: uncultured bacterium
Lineage: Bacteria
Description: partial 16S ribosomal RNA
Rfam family: Bacterial small subunit ribosomal RNA
Source: RNAcentral
CCUACGGGUGGCAGCAGUGAGGAAUAUUGGUCAAUGGACGAGAGUCUGAACCAGCCAAGUCGCGUGAAGGAUGACUGCCCUAUGGGUUGUAAACUUCUUUUAUAAAGGAAUAAAACGAGGCACGUGUGCCUUUUUGCAUGUGCUUUAUGAAUAAGGAUCGGCUAACUCCGUGCCAGCAGCCGCGGUAAUACGGAGGAUCCGAGCGUUAUCCGGAUUUAUUGGGUUUAAAGGGAGCGUAGAUGGGUUGUUAAGUCAGUGGUGAAAGUUUGCGGCUCAACCGUAAAAUUUCAAUUGAUACUGGCAGUCUUGAGUACAGUUGAGGUAGGCGGAAUUCGUGGUGUAGCGGUGAAAUGCUUAGAUAUCACGAAGAACCCCGAUGGCGAAGGCAGCUUACUAAACUGUGACUGACAUUGAUGCUCGAAAGUGUGGGGAUCAAACAGGAUUAGAUACCCGAGUAGUC